AUGGGCAUCGUUCUGUACUUCUGACACUGGCAGGCAGGUCCAGCAUUACAGAUGCACUUUAUGACUGAAUGCAAGAUGAGUGGAUUCACUUAAUUCAGCUUCCUGCUAACAAUCGAACUGAUGGUGGGAGAUUUUGCAGCUUACAACAAGCCUGAUUAGCAGUAAGCAGAUUACAAGUGCAGCAGGGGAAGUUAACCCAGCCUUCCAGAAACGCAGCGUUUGCUUCAUGGCUCAAACUGCGGCAGAUCGAACUUUUCCAGGGGAUAACGGCCGUCUGGUGUGAACGCAGAGCAGGAGCACAGCGAUUAAAAACGGCUCCUCCUGGGGAAGAGACCCGCUUCAGUUCCAAUGUGCUUGCUGUCUUUGGAGUUGUGGAGAACCUAAAAUACUUCAUUAAGCUCCUUAUGACACCCUGCUGGCAGCUUCAGCUGCUCCUCUUCCUCCUCCAUCUUGGAGCAUUCACUCAGACAAAGGCUACACCGACUGGACCUCUGACAGCUGGACCCUUGUGGACCAGACGCACCGGCCGGGUGCUGAUCGGUUAAUCUCACAGCAGAUCUGUGGGAUGAAGUCAUAUUCGCUGUGCUGAAGAGUCGAGUGUUUCCGUCCAAAUCCAAGAGAAAGCAAGUUGCUCUCUAUCCUGGAACGAUUUACUGUUUGAAUUGUAUGUAGGUGAAACAUAAUCAUCUGUAUUUUACUGCUGCCUUCACCUUCACAAAGCACUGCUGACCUACUUUUUAGAAAUAUUGUUUGUGAUGUACGAAACGUUUUCAGCCUUAAAGUGUUUUGAGCUGAAAGCCUUAUUCUGUUGGAAUGAGAAAUUU
Poecilia latipinna (sailfin molly) is the source of this 824-nucleotide long non-coding RNA. RefSeq lists it as uncharacterized. The record is from RefSeq and is a predicted model, not a curated record. NCBI's taxonomy places the organism in Eukaryota, Metazoa, Chordata, Actinopteri, Cyprinodontiformes, Poeciliidae. The transcript is spliced from 2 exons.